Molecule: ribosomal RNA, 254 nt
Filed under: uncultured bacterium
Lineage: Bacteria
Description: partial 16S ribosomal RNA
Rfam family: Bacterial small subunit ribosomal RNA
Source: RNAcentral
UACAGAGGUCUCAACCGUUGUUCGGAUUCAUUGGGCGUAAAGGGUGCGUAGGCGGUCGCGUAAGUCAGGUGUGAAAUCCCGGGGCUCAACCCCGGAACUGCACUUGAUACUGCGUGGCUAGGGUACUGGAGAGGAGACUGGAAUUUACGGUGUAGCAGUGAAAUGCGUAGAUAUCGGGAGGAACACCAGUGGCGAAGGCGACUACCUGGCCUGUUUCUUGACGCUGAGGCGCGAAAGCUAGGGGAGCAAACGGG